Molecule: ribosomal RNA, 483 nt
Filed under: uncultured bacterium
Lineage: Bacteria
Description: partial 16S ribosomal RNA
Rfam family: Bacterial small subunit ribosomal RNA
Source: RNAcentral
AUUGAACGCUGGCGGCAUGCCUUACACAUGCAAGUCGAACGGCAGCACGGGAGCAAUCCUGGUGGCGAGUGGCGAACGGGUGAGUAAUACAUCGGAACGUGCCCAGUAGUGGGGGAUAACCCGGCGAAAGCCGGACUAAUACCGCAUACGACCUACGGGUGAAAGCGGGGGAUCGCAAGACCUCGCGCUAUCGGAGCGGCCGAUGUCAGAUUAGCUAGUUGGUGGGGUAAAGGCCUACCAAGGCGACGAUCUGUAGCUGGUCUGAGAGGACGACCAGCCACACUGGGACUGAGACACGGCCCAGACUCCUACGGGAGGCAGCAGUGGGGAAUUUUGGACAAUGGGCGCAAGCCUGAUCCAGCCAUGCCGCGUGCGGGAAGAAGGCCUUCGGGUUGUAAACCGCUUUUGUCAGGGAAGAAACGCUCCGGGCUAAUACCACGGAGUAAUGACGGUACCUGAAGAAUAAGCACCGGCUAACUACGU